GGGCCGUUAGCUCAUUCGGUAGAGCGCUUCCAUGGCAUGGAAGAGGCGACCGGUUCGAAUCCGGUACGGUCCA
Molecule: transfer RNA, 73 nt
Filed under: bacterium
Lineage: Bacteria
Description: tRNA-Ala
Rfam family: tRNA
About the family: Transfer RNA (tRNA) molecules are approximately 80 nucleotides in length. Their secondary structure includes four short double-helical elements and three loops (D, anti-codon, and T loops).
Source: RNAcentral